GACGAACGCUGGCGGCGUGCUUAACACAUGCAAGUCGAACGGAAAGGCCCAGCUUGCUGGGUGCUCGAGUGGCGAACGGGUGAGUAACACGUGGGUGAUCUGCCCCUAACUUCGGGAUAAGCUUGGGAAACUGGGUCUAAUACCGGAUAGGACAAUCGUUUAGUGUCGGUUGUGGAAAGUUUUUUCGGUUGGGGAUGGGCCCGCGGCCUAUCAGCUUGUUGGUGGGGUAAUGGCCUACCAAGGCGUCGACGGGUAGCCGGCCUGAGAGGGUGGACGGCCAAAUUGGGACUGAGAUACGGCCCAGACUCCUACGGGAGGCAGCAGUGGGGAAUAUUGCACAAUGGGAGCAAGCCUGAUGCAGCGACGCCGCGUGGGGGAUGACGGCCUUCGGGUUGUAAACCUCUUUCGACAGGGACGAAGCUUUGGUGACGGUACCUGUAUAAGAAGCACCGGCUAACUACGUG
RNAcentral lists this ribosomal RNA (464 nucleotides) under uncultured bacterium. RNAcentral's name for it is "partial 16S ribosomal RNA". It matches the Rfam family "Bacterial small subunit ribosomal RNA", at positions 28 to 507 of the family's 1533-position model. The record is from RNAcentral.